AUGAACGCUGGCGGCGUGCCUAAUCCAUGCAAGUCGAGCGAACAGACGAGGAGCUUGCUCCUCUGACGUUAGCGGCGGCCGGGUGAGUAACACGUGGAUAACCUACCUAUAAGACUGGGAUAACUUCGGGAAACCGGAGCUAAUACCGGAUAAUAUAUUGAACCGCAUGGUUCAAUAGUGAAAGACGGUUUUGCUGUCACUUAUAGAUGGAUCCGCGCCGCAUUAGCUAGUUGGUAAGGUAACGGCUUACCAAGGCAACGAUGCGUAGCCGACCUGAGAGGGGGAUCGGCGACAUGGGAAGUGGGACACGGUCAAGACGCCUACGGGAGGCAGCAGUAGGGUAUCUUAGGCAGUGGGCGGAAGCCUGACGGAGCAAGCGGGCGUGAGAGAUGAAGAUGUUCGGAUCGUAAAGCCCUGUUAUUAGGGAAGAACAAAUGUGUAAUUAACUAUGCACGUCUUGACGGUACCUAGUCAGAAAGCCACGGCUAACUACGUG
RNAcentral lists this ribosomal RNA (496 nucleotides) under uncultured bacterium. Its description in RNAcentral is "partial 16S ribosomal RNA". It matches the Rfam family "Bacterial small subunit ribosomal RNA", at positions 29 to 507 of the family's 1533-position model. The record is from RNAcentral.